CCUCCUGUGUUUUCUUCCAGAUGUUUUAUAAUUUUGAGUUUUAAAUGGAAUACAAGGAGAUCCAUGGUGGAAGAUGAGACAAAAGUGAUGUGUUGGGUCAGGUUGGAAAGCGACUACCACCCUAAGGAAUUUAGAGUUUGCCUUUGACCAUGGUGAAUGAUGGAAGGUAAAUUUACGCAGAGGG
Long non-coding RNA from Herpailurus yagouaroundi (jaguarundi), 184 nucleotides. RefSeq lists it as uncharacterized. NCBI's taxonomy places the organism in Eukaryota, Metazoa, Chordata, Mammalia, Carnivora, Felidae. The record is from RefSeq and is a predicted model, not a curated record. The transcript is spliced from 2 exons.